CAACCGCCGCGGUAAUACCGGCGGCCCGAGUGGCGGCCACUAUUAUUGGGCUUAAAGCGUCCGUAGCCGGGUUGGUUAGUCUCCCGGGAAAUCUGGCCGCUUAACGGUCAGAAUUCCGGGAGAUACUGCCAGCCUAGGGACCGGGAGAGGCCGAGGGUAUUCCCGGAGUAGGGGUGAAAUCCUAUAAUCCCGGGAGGACCACCUGUGGCGAAGGCGCUCGGCUGGAACGGGUCCGACGGUGAGGGACGAAGGCCAGGGGAGCAAACCGGAUUAGAUACCCGGGUAGUCCUGGCUGUAAACGAUGCGGGCUAGCUGUUGGGUGGGCUUAGAGCCCACCCAGUGGCGCAGGGAAGCCGUUAAGCCCGCCGCCUGGGGAGUACGGCCGCAAGGUUGAAACUUAAAGGAAUUGGCGGG
This 414-nucleotide ribosomal RNA is filed under the name uncultured microorganism. Its description in RNAcentral is "bacterial SSU rRNA". It matches the Rfam family "Archaeal small subunit ribosomal RNA", at positions 459 to 872 of the family's 1478-position model. The record is from RNAcentral.